GGCCCCGCACAAGCAGCGGAGCGUGUUGCUUAAUUCGAUGCAACGCGAAGAACCUUACCUGGGUUUGACAUGUAGGGAAAAGCUCUAGAGAUAGGGUGUCCUUCGGGCCUUACACAGGUGGUGCAUGGUUGUCGUCAGCUCGUGUCGUGAGAUGUUGGGUUAAGUCCCGCAACGAGCGCAACCCUCGUCCUAUGUUGCCAGCACGUAAUGGUGGGAACUCAUGGGAUACUGCCGGGGUCAACUCGGAGGAAGGUGGGGAUGACGUCAAAUCAUCAUGCCCCUUAUGUCUUGGGCUUCACGCAUGCUACAAUGGCCGGUACAGAGGGCUGCAAUACCGCAAGGUGGAGCG
Molecule: ribosomal RNA, 349 nt
Filed under: uncultured bacterium
Lineage: Bacteria
Description: bacterial SSU rRNA
Rfam family: Bacterial small subunit ribosomal RNA
Source: RNAcentral